RNAcentral lists this ribosomal RNA (253 nucleotides) under uncultured bacterium. RNAcentral's name for it is "partial 16S ribosomal RNA". It matches the Rfam family "Bacterial small subunit ribosomal RNA", at positions 524 to 776 of the family's 1533-position model. The record is from RNAcentral.
UACGAAGGGGGCUAGCGUUGCUCGGAAUCACUGGGCGUAAAGGGUGCGUAGGCGGGUCUUUAAGUCAGGGGUGAAAUCCUGGAGCUCAACUCCAGAACUGCCUUUGAUACUGAGGAUCUUGAGUUCGGGAGAGGUGAGUGGAACUGCGAGUGUAGAGGUGAAAUUCGUAGAUAUUCGCAAGAACACCAGUGGCGAAGGCGGCUCCCUGGUCCGAUACUGACGCUCAUGUGCGAAAGCGUGGGGAGCAAACAGG